Molecule: long non-coding RNA, 520 nt
Filed under: Nicotiana benthamiana
Lineage: Eukaryota; Viridiplantae; Streptophyta; Magnoliopsida; Solanales; Solanaceae
Description: long non-coding RNA (NBEN_LNC024892)
Source: RNAcentral
UAGAUUAGAUGAUGAUAUUAUGAAUGCUCUUUAUCCUAAUGAACCUAUCUUAGAGGAAAAUGAGGAUGAUGAUGAAACUCAAGCACCAGAUUUAGAUGAUACACCUUCUAGUCCUGCUCAUAACUUAGGUAAUGAACCGACUGAUAAUGAUGAUGAUGAAACCCAAGCACCAGAUUUAGAUGAUACACCUACUAGUCAUGUUCAUAACUCAAGUAAUGCACCGGCACACCCACCUGAAGAAACUCCAACUUUUAGUAGACAACCUACUAAUCAUGCAGAAACAUCAUUAGUUUGGCAUUUUUUUACUCAACUAAGAGAACAAAAUAAGGCUAAGCGUAAAACUUGUGGGAAAUUACUUGUUCAUAGGUAUACUAGAGAUCGUAGCGGCACGAGUAGUUUGACUAAGCAUAUAAAAUUACACCCUAGAGAUAAGGCUAUAUUUUUGCAAAUGAAAGCGCAACAAGAGGGGGGGACAAGUGUAGAUUCUCAAGUUAAUCCAAGUACUGGUUCAAAUCUAGUU